AGAAAUUACUUUUCAUCCCAAUUAAUUUUAUCUAUUAUAAACAAAUAGCAUUGGACAGCAUUGAACUUUAUCAGCAUUUUAACUGUGUCAUGUCUAAUCAAGAUUAUGUGUGAGGCUUUAAAUAUGAAGAGAACUUUAAAACAUUUUCAUUGAUUUUCUGUGUGUUGUAAUUUAUGUAUUGUUAUACGAUUCUUUUAUCUUUAGUAAGAUGUUUAAUUUAAUAUGAUGUACUGUAAAUUUAGAAAUUACUAUGUGCACUUACUGCUCUGACUCUUGAAAAAUAGACAAACUUUUGAAAUAAUUGUGAUUUCCGGAAUUGCUGCAUACAAAAAAUG
RNAcentral lists this long non-coding RNA (335 nucleotides) under Mytilus galloprovincialis (Mediterranean mussel). Lineage: Eukaryota; Metazoa; Mollusca; Bivalvia; Mytilida; Mytilidae. The record is from RNAcentral.